GACGAACGCUGGCGGCGUGCUUAAUACAUGCAAGUCGAACGGAAAGGCCUCUUUCGGGGGGUACUCGAGUGGCGAACGGGUGAGUAACACGUGAGUAACUUGCCCUUGACUAUGGGAGAACUUACGGCAAGUGGGGCUAAUUCCGGACAGGAGCUCUUGUUGCCUGGUUGGGUUUGGAAUGUUUCGGUGGUUGGGGGUGGACUGGCGGCUUAUCCGCUUGUUGGUGGGGUAGUGGCUUACCAAGGCUUUGACGGGUAGCCGGCCUGAGAGGGUGACCGGCCACAUUGGGACUGAGAUACGGCCCAGACUCCUACGGGAGGCAGCAGUGGGGAAUAUUGCACAAUGGGUGGAAGCCUGAUGCAGCAACGCCGUGUGCGGGAUGACGGCCUUCGGGUUGUAAACCGCUUUCGCUCAUGACGAAGCUUUGUGUGACGGUAGUGGGUAAAGAAGCACCGGCUAACUACGUG
Molecule: ribosomal RNA, 467 nt
Filed under: uncultured bacterium
Lineage: Bacteria
Description: partial 16S ribosomal RNA
Rfam family: Bacterial small subunit ribosomal RNA
Source: RNAcentral